Molecule: long non-coding RNA, 460 nt
Filed under: Carica papaya (papaya)
Lineage: Eukaryota; Viridiplantae; Streptophyta; Magnoliopsida; Brassicales; Caricaceae
Description: long non-coding RNA (CPAP_LNC011640)
Source: RNAcentral
UGGGACCUGGUGCUGAUAAAGGUUUAUUUGGUUCUGUCCUACGACUGCGGUCAAUCCUUAGAUAGUUCGAAAAAGUUCAAUAAACUCGGCCCUAGUUGGAUGAUCUUGGGCCUCUGAUCUUUCACUACGUUCUAUGAAAGGUCUCUGUCGCAUCAUUCCUAUAAAAGAAAGGAAGAGAUGAGUUAGUGAUCUAGUUUAGAAAAGACAACUUAUUUUCUUAAAUAAGGGACUUUCUACUUACAGUCUUAGUUGUAAGGGAUUUGGUCUGCAUAACUGCUCUGAUACCAUUUAUGACAUCCUCAAUGCAAAUUAACGCAUAAGGGUGCUAGAUACAAAAAUAGAUUGCGAGUGCAUGAUAAAAUUUUAUACAAUGAAGUAAAUUAUUACAAAUCCCUUACUAAAAUAUAUGAGUUUCAAUUACACAUAUAUAUAACUAAGGCCAGAAGUGAUAACAAAAUAC